Molecule: ribosomal RNA, 434 nt
Filed under: uncultured bacterium
Lineage: Bacteria
Description: partial 16S ribosomal RNA
Rfam family: Bacterial small subunit ribosomal RNA
Source: RNAcentral
AGCGAACGCUGGCGGCAGGCCUAACACAUGCAAGUCGAACGAACCUUUCGGGGUUAGUGGCGGACGGGUGAGUAACACGUGGGAACGUGCCUUUAGGUUCGGAAUAACUCAGGGAAACUUGUGCUAAUACCGAAUGUGCCCUUCGGGGGAAAGAUUUAUCGCCUUUAGAGCGGCCCGCGUCUGAUUAGCUAGUUGGUUGAGGUAAUGGCUCACCAAGGCGACGAUCAGUAGCUGGUCUGAGAGGAUGAUCAGCCACAUUGGGAUUGAGACACGGCCCAAACUCCUACGGGAGGCAGCAGUGGGGAAUCUUGCGCAAUGGGCGAAAGCCUGACGCAGCCAUGCCGCGUGAAUGAUGAAGGUCUUAGGAUUGUAAAAUUCUUUCACCGGGGACGAUAAUGACGGUACCCGGAGAAGAAGCCCCGGCUAACUUCGUG